UACAGAGGGUGCAAGCGUUAAUCGGAAUUACUGGGCGUAAAGCGCAUGUAGGUGGGAGAGUAAGUUUGAUGUAAAAUCCCCGGGCUUAACCUGGGAAGGUCGUUGAAUACUAUUUUUCUAGAGUGAGAUAGAGGGUCGUGGAAUUUCCGGUGUAGCGGUGAAAUGCGUAGAGAUCGGAAAGAACACCAGUGGCGAAGGCGGCGACCUGGAUCUCAACUGACACUGAGGUGCGAAAGCGUGGGGAGCAAACAGG
Molecule: ribosomal RNA, 253 nt
Filed under: uncultured bacterium
Lineage: Bacteria
Description: partial 16S ribosomal RNA
Rfam family: Bacterial small subunit ribosomal RNA
Source: RNAcentral